Molecule: ribosomal RNA, 243 nt
Filed under: uncultured bacterium
Lineage: Bacteria
Description: partial 16S ribosomal RNA
Rfam family: Bacterial small subunit ribosomal RNA
Source: RNAcentral
CGAACGGGUGAGUAACACGUGGGCAAUUUGCCCUUGAGUUUGGGAUAAGCCUUCGAAAGGAGGUCUAAUACCGGAUAAUAUCUUUAAAUGGCAUUAUUUUUAGAUCAAAGGCGGGGUAACCUGCCGCUCGAGGAUGAGCCCGCGCUCCAUUAGCUUGUUGGUAGGGUAACGGCCUACCAAGGCAGUGAUGGAUAGCCGGCCUGAGAGGGUGAACGGCCACACUGGGACUGAGAUACGGCCCAG